GAUGAACGCUGGCGGCGUGCCUAAUACAUGCAAGUCGAGCGAACGGACGAGAAGCUUUCUUCUCUGAUGUUAGCGGCGGACGGGUGAGUAACACGUGGAUAACCUACCUAUAAGACUUGGAUAACUUCGUGAAACCGGAGCUAAUACCGGAUAAUAUUUUGAACCGCAUGGUUCAAAAGUGAAAGACGGUCUUGCUGUCACUUAUAGAUGGAUCCGCGCCGCAUUAGCUAGUUGGUAAGGUAACGGCUUACCAAGGCAACGAUGCAUAGCCGACCUGAGAGGGUGAUCGGCCACACUGGAACUGAGACACGGUCCAGACUCCUACGGGAGGCAGCAGUAGGGAAUCUUCCGCAAUGGGCGAAAGCCUGACGGAGCAACGCCGCGUGAGUGAUGAAGGUCUUCGGAUCGUAAAACUCUGUUAUUAGGGAAGAACAUAUGUGUAAGUAACUGUGCACAUCUUGACGGUACCUAAUCAGAAAGCCACGGCUAACUACGUG
Molecule: ribosomal RNA, 497 nt
Filed under: uncultured bacterium
Lineage: Bacteria
Description: partial 16S ribosomal RNA
Rfam family: Bacterial small subunit ribosomal RNA
Source: RNAcentral